ACGUGAUGAUAACGGCGAGCGCAGAGAUGAAGAAGAUUACGAGUCUCGAUGAUGAUAAGCUUUGGGCAGGAUUUGAUUGGGAGGAAACUGAGUGGUGAAAUAAAACCUAAGACCUUGAUCACUAGUUAUCCUUUCCCAGCUAUCCUCAGAGAGGACCUUUGAUUGCAAAAGAGUUGCUCUCAGUGUUCCCAAAUUCUAGAUAUAUGAUCAGAGGGAUUAGAUCCAAAUUGCAUGAGGUCAUAGCAUUAGCUAAAAGGAGACGUUUUACAUCUCUAAUUCUCACUCAUACAAACUCUCUUGGACAUGAAUUGUGCAAAUCCCCCGAGCCGCCCCCGCUAUCCUGAGCUUCAUAUGAAGAGUUUUAAUUCUCAGGCCAGUGUUGGCACAGCCAGAAUGAUACAAGCACUCUUCCCCAAGGUCCCUUCUUCUGGUGGAAGGCCUGUUGCAUGGUUUCAGAAGCAAAAUAAUCAUAUCUUUUUUCGAUCUCAUCGUUUCUGCUAUGAGGAAGCACUUUCAGGAGAAAGUUCAAGUGUCCGCAGACAGCCAUAGGUUUCAUAUCUAUUGCUUUUACUGACCUU
Long non-coding RNA from Arabidopsis lyrata subsp. lyrata, 578 nucleotides. RefSeq lists it as uncharacterized. The transcript is spliced from 3 exons. The record is from RefSeq and is a predicted model, not a curated record. NCBI's taxonomy places the organism in Eukaryota, Viridiplantae, Streptophyta, Magnoliopsida, Brassicales, Brassicaceae.